UAUGGGCAUAGGGUCAUCCCUGGAUCACCUACUCAUGUCAAAUCAGCCUAAGCCUGAGGCCUACUGUGGCUGAGCUGAAACCUUGCAGGCCUUAGCCUGGAAGGUAAUCGAGGGCGCAGCUUUGCAUGGCUUCUCUCCUGUAACACCAAGAACAACUCUGAUGCUAGUUGGGUUGCUGUCCUUUUCCUGCUGCAGCUGCUCCUCUGCAGGCUGUCUGCUACAUCACAAAGAAAGAAGAGUUGCUUGUAAUCUUGACUUAUAAACAUCUAUAAUGCCUUUGUCUGAUGUACUUACCAUCACCAUAACACAUACUACAGAAGUCUCCAACUAUCUGGCAAUUGAGAGAGAAGCGAGGAGAAACCCAAGAACCAGGGACAAGGCUCACUAGACCUGCCUCAAGAAUUCAUAAUAAUCAGUGGAAAGAGUUCCCAG
Long non-coding RNA from Mauremys reevesii (Reeves's turtle), 432 nucleotides. RefSeq lists it as uncharacterized. The transcript is spliced from 5 exons. The record is from RefSeq and is a predicted model, not a curated record. NCBI's taxonomy places the organism in Eukaryota, Metazoa, Chordata, Testudines, Geoemydidae.